RNAcentral lists this small RNA (68 nucleotides) under Bacillus sp. SJS. RNAcentral's name for it is "Bacillaceae-1 RNA". It matches the Rfam family "Bacillaceae-1 RNA". Lineage: Bacteria; Bacillati; Bacillota; Bacilli; Caryophanales; Bacillaceae. The record is from Rfam by way of RNAcentral.
CAUAAAGGAAGUUCGGGGGAAGUUCGCGACGUCCUGUCGCUCCCCCGAACUGACCCGCCUCCUGCGGG